UCCGCCGGCUGCCGGCCACAUUGCUUCCAGACGUUCGUCCAAAUUGGUGAUGGUCGAGCUAAUAAUUUCUUCCACGUCGUUAAUCGCAAGCUGCAGGCCCAAUACGUUGCUGGGGCAGCCCGCGGCUACAAGGUGAAGAUGAGAUACCGUAGCGGCGACGGAGACUAGAUGCGUGCGACACGGGCUUGAUGAAACACGCGAGAUGAGUUUGACAGCCUCGACUACGGAGCUGAAUCAUGGCAUCGCCAAUCUGUGAUCAUCACAUCUAUCAAGCGCGUGCGGCUCAACAUGUCAGCAACGACAAGGCAUUGACGAUUAUUUUAUUCCGGGCGGUGAAAUGGUGCAAUUUUCCAUUUUUAUUAUUCAAGGCCGCAACUGACGAAUACAAAAUUUGUUAUGUAAUACUCCAGUUAUACGCUAAGCCAUGAGACAUGAGAGUACAAUCUACGAUGUAUUUUCUUUAGAUGAUUCAACCUACAAGGUAUACCAACCCUGUUACACAUCA
This is a long non-coding RNA of Triticum dicoccoides, 505 nucleotides long. RefSeq lists it as uncharacterized. The record is from RefSeq and is a predicted model, not a curated record. The transcript has 2 exons. Lineage: Eukaryota; Viridiplantae; Streptophyta; Magnoliopsida; Poales; Poaceae.